This 84-nucleotide transfer RNA is filed under the name Nocardia acididurans. RNAcentral's name for it is "tRNA-Ser". It matches the Rfam family "tRNA". Rfam says of the family: Transfer RNA (tRNA) molecules are approximately 80 nucleotides in length. Their secondary structure includes four short double-helical elements and three loops (D, anti-codon, and T loops). The record is from RNAcentral. Lineage: Bacteria; Bacillati; Actinomycetota; Actinomycetes; Mycobacteriales; Nocardiaceae.
GGAAGGUUCCGGCCUGCGGAGGCCAGCUGGUCUUGAACACCAGAGGGGCGUUUCGGCGUUGGGGUUCGACUCCUCAACCUUCCA